UACGUAGGGGGCAAGCGUUGUCCGGAUUUAUUGGGCGUAAAGAGCGUGUAGGCGGCUAGGUAGGUCCGUUGUGAAAACUCGAGGCUCAACCUCGAGACGCCGGUGGAAACCGUAAAGCUAGAGUCCGGAAGAGGAGAGUGGAAUUCCUGGUGUAGCGGUGAAAUGCGUAGAUAUCUGGAGGAACACCGGUGGCGAAGGCGGCAUCCUGGACCGGUAUUGACGCUGAUGCGCGAAAGCCAGGGGAGCAAACGGG
RNAcentral lists this ribosomal RNA (253 nucleotides) under uncultured bacterium. Its description in RNAcentral is "partial 16S ribosomal RNA". It matches the Rfam family "Bacterial small subunit ribosomal RNA", at positions 524 to 776 of the family's 1533-position model. The record is from RNAcentral.